This 249-nucleotide ribosomal RNA is filed under the name uncultured bacterium. RNAcentral's name for it is "partial 16S ribosomal RNA". It matches the Rfam family "Bacterial small subunit ribosomal RNA", at positions 793 to 1055 of the family's 1533-position model. The record is from RNAcentral.
GUCCACGCCGUAACGAUGGAUACUAGCUGUUCGGAGCAAUCUGAGUGGCUAAGCGAAGUGAUAAGUAUCCCACCUGGGAGUACGUUCGCAAGAAUGAACUCAAAGGAAUUGACGGGCCCGCACAAGCGGUGGAGCAUGUGGUUUAAUUCGAUGAUACGCGAGGAACCUUACCAAGGCUUAAAUGUAGAUUGACCGAUUUGGAAACAGAUCUUUCGCAAGACAAUUUACAAGGUGCUGCAUGGUUGUCGU